GGCUGGUGACGUUGCACAAUAACAAGAGCUGGCGGCCGUGGGGCGGCUGGUGGGAUAUGUUUACCGGGAGUGAGCGAUGGUGAUAUGGAUGCUAUCUCUGUGCCUUAUGGCGUGACUGUUGUCGGAAAGGCAGGCGACGUCCACAACUUCUUGAAACAGACGAGGAGAGGACAUUGCCAGCCCGAGAGGACAAAAACAUUAUUUGAAGAGAUCCGAGCAUCUGUUACAAAUAAUUCAAAUGAAGAUAGAUCUUUCUGGAGACCUGUUCUUCCAUGGGGUGGAGUGUACACCAUUAAAGCUGGAAGAAAGGCAAUGGCUUGCACUCCACUAUAUGUUAGGAUAAGCCUAAAAAACACUUGCAGCAUUGAUGGGUUUUUGAUGUUGCUGUAUGUAAUUCUCAGUGAAAAUGAGAAUUUUUGUAGAGAGUUAUCAAGCUACUUAGGAAAGGAAUUUGUUGAGCGCUUUCUGUAUUUGAUGGAUUCUUGUAAAUUCACAACUGUGAAGUUGUUGUGGAUUUGGGAUAAAAUGGAAAAAUGUCAGUACAAAUCAGAAGUCCACAAGGCCUCGCUAGAAAUUGAUCUUUUUGGAAAUGAACAUGAAAACUUCACAAGAAACCUGGAGAACCUUAUGUCCACUAUUCAGGAAACUUUCUGUUCUAAUGGGAGAUGUCCGGCACGUGCGCAGGAAGAUCAGCGCAAGACAAUUAUUAUCGCUCCUUCACAUGAUUCUCUCCUGGGUGAUGUAAUUCAAGCAGCAGUGAACGAAUUAUUCUGUCCCAGGACUGAGCUGUGCGAAGAACUUGGAUGUAAUGGUCAGCGUGAGUUCACACAAAGAAUUUUUUGUCAUGAUGCUCCUCCAUUUGUCAUCCUAAAUAUGGAGCAGUGGAAAUCUGAGGAAUUGCCCUAUGUCCCAUAUACUUUGGCUGUAGCAAAACAAAGCUGGAGGCCAAUCAUCAACCUCAAAGCAUCACAGCAGGAGUUUGAUAGUGGUGUCCUAGAAGCCCAAACUUCUUCAGAUGCUUCAUCGAUGACCUCUCCAUCAUAACAUCAGAAGUGGGGAUGAUUGCAGUGUUCACUCCUAUUUGCAAAUCCUCAUAUAAUGAAGUAGUCCAUGCCCGCAUUUAUCAAGGCUUCGGGGUGAAAAGUAGUAAGUGACAUUCGUGCUGCACAAGUGCCAGGCAACAAUAAAUCUCCAAGUGAUUAUAACCACCGAGACUUGACUUCAAUGGCCUUACUGACAUUGAAUCCCCCACCAUCAACAUCUUGGAGGUCACCAUUGACCGGAAAACUAACUGGACCAAACCCAUAAAUACUUUGGCUACAAGAGCAUGUGAGAAACUGGAUAUUCUGUGUCUGACUCCCAAAGCCUUUCCAUUGUAUGCAAGUCAGUAAUGUGAUGAAAUAUUCUCCACGUACCUUGAUGAACGCAAUUCCAACAACGGUGGAAACUCUACUCUCCUGGAUAAAUCGGCCUACUUGAUUGACAGUCCACCCAACACCUUAAACAUUCACUCCCUCCUGCAUUGGUGCACAGUGGCUGCAACGUGUAUCAUCUACAAGUUGCACUGUAGUAACUCACCAAGGCUUCUUCAACAGCACCUUCCAAACACAAUCUUUACCACCUAGAAUGACAAGGGCAGCAGAUGCAUCAGACCAACACCCACAAGUUCCCCUCCAAGUCACACACCAUCCUGACCUGGAACUAUAAUCACCAUUUCUUCAUUGUCACUCAAAGUCCUGGAACACCCUCCCCAAAAGCACUGUGGGUGCACCUACCCACAUGUACUGCAGCUGCUCAAGGAGGUGGCUUACCAUCAACUUCAAGGACAAUUAGAUACACAUUGGAGGGGGCAACACUUUUCAACAAAGAGGAGCACCAUUAUUCUGCUGCUUUUAUGAUUGAUGGUAAUUGGAUGCAUUAUGAUGGGCUUAGAACUGAGAACUUGGUCUUUUUAAAUAAACCUCCAGAGCUG
Carcharodon carcharias (great white shark) is the source of this 1972-nucleotide RNA transcript. It is a transcript of the gene named chromosome 20 C14orf28 homolog, with no coding region annotated. The transcript is spliced from 6 exons. The record is from RefSeq and is a predicted model, not a curated record. NCBI's taxonomy places the organism in Eukaryota, Metazoa, Chordata, Chondrichthyes, Lamniformes, Lamnidae.